This 496-nucleotide ribosomal RNA is filed under the name uncultured bacterium. RNAcentral's name for it is "bacterial SSU rRNA". It matches the Rfam family "Bacterial small subunit ribosomal RNA", at positions 791 to 1289 of the family's 1533-position model. The record is from RNAcentral.
UAGUCUACGCAGUAAACGAUGGUUACUAGCUGUUCGGUCUAAUUGAGGGCUGAGUGGCUAAGCGAAAGUGAUAAGUAACCCACCUGGGGAGUACGUUCGCAAGAAUGAAACUCAAAGGAAUUGACGGGGGCCCGCACAAGCGGUGGAGCAUGUGGUUUAAUUCGAUGAUACGCGAGGAACCUUACCAGGGCUUAAAUGCAGUUUGACAGAGGUAGAAAUACCUUUUUCUUCGGACAAAUUGCAAGGUGCUGCAUGGUUGUCGUCAGCUCGUGCCGUGAGGUGUCAGGUUAAGUCCUAUAACGAGCGCAACCCCUAUGGUUAGUUGCUAGCAGGUCAUGCUGAGAACUCUAACCAGACUGCCGAUGUAAACCGCGAGGAAGGUGGGGAUGACGUCAAAUCAUCACGGCCCUUACGUCCUGGGCUACACACGUGCUACAAUGGUAUGUACAAUGAGCAGCCACUACGCGAGUAGGCGCAAAUCUCAAAAGCAUAUCAC